CAAACAGUUAAAGCAUUUUACUGCGUUUGAAUACUACAGCAUGGAAUAACAAAAUUGAACAAGUCAAAACUCUGUUCCUUUUUCUUAUUUUGGCUUAGUUACGAUUAAUAGGAGUAGCUUGGGGGCAUUUGUAUUCAGAUGUCAGAGGUGAAAUUCUUAGAUUUUCUGGAGACAAACAACUGCGAAAGCAUUUGCCUAA
RNAcentral lists this ribosomal RNA (199 nucleotides) under Plasmodium ovale (malaria parasite P. ovale). RNAcentral describes it as "partial 18S ribosomal RNA". It matches the Rfam family "Eukaryotic small subunit ribosomal RNA", at positions 775 to 962 of the family's 1831-position model. Lineage: Eukaryota; Apicomplexa; Aconoidasida; Haemosporida; Plasmodiidae. The record is from RNAcentral.